RNAcentral lists this ribosomal RNA (483 nucleotides) under uncultured bacterium. RNAcentral describes it as "partial 16S ribosomal RNA". It matches the Rfam family "Bacterial small subunit ribosomal RNA", at positions 28 to 523 of the family's 1533-position model. The record is from RNAcentral.
GACGAACGCUGGCGGCGUGCUUAACACAUGCAAGUCGAACGGUGAAGGUGGAGCUUGCUCCGCCGGAUCAGUGGCGAACGGGUGAGUAACACGUGGGCAACCUGCCCCAGACUCUGGGAUAACUCCUCGAAAGAGGCGCUAAUACCGGAUACGAACUCCUUGGGCAUCCUUGGAGUUGGAAAGUUUUUCGGUCUGGGAUGGGCCCGCGGCCUAUCAGCUUGUUGGUGAGGUAACGGCUCACCAAGGCGACGACGGGUAGCCGGCCUGAGAGGGCGACCGGCCACACUGGGACUGAGACACGGCCCAGACUCCUACGGGAGGCAGCAGUGGGGAAUAUUGCGCAAUGGGCGAAAGCCUGACGCAGCAACGCCGCGUGAGGGAUGACGGCCUUCGGGUUGUAAACCUCUUUCAGCAGGGAAGAAGCGAAAGUGACGGUACCUGCAGAAGAAGCACCGGCUAACUACGUGCCAGCCGCCGCCGUAA